Long non-coding RNA from Hyposmocoma kahamanoa, 922 nucleotides. RefSeq lists it as uncharacterized. The transcript is spliced from 3 exons. The record is from RefSeq and is a predicted model, not a curated record. Lineage: Eukaryota; Metazoa; Arthropoda; Insecta; Lepidoptera; Cosmopterigidae.
AUACGUGAUGCUGAAGUUGCGUGGGUGUCAAGCUAUUUCAAGUUAAUAGUGAAUCACAAAAUAGUAUAUCGUUACCAGACCUGUUGAUAUGCUGCUAGCUCCUCAAUGGUGAUCUUAAAUUUUCAAUUUUUUGCCAAGAUAUAAUAACAAUUUUAUAACAGAGAUGAUGUAAGUAAAAAAAUGCAGCUCAGAAAUUGGCCGAGUGAAGCUACAGCAUAUGAAAUUUUGUCGCAUCAGAGCAAAAAAGCUGACACAAUAGAGGUUUCGGUAUCAAAGUUGAGAGGAUCGUUGUCAAAAUCUGGUAUCUUCGGUCGCGGAUCGCACAACACGAGAAUCGUUGCAACUCGACGCCAAAACUAACAUAAGCCUGCAAGUGCUGCAUUUACGAAACUGUUUUUAGAUGGAUCAACGUUAAAUACUUGUGCGUGCUUGCUGUAGAGUAUUAAACUGUUUCGUGUUACUUCAUCAACACUUGGGAUAAUAGUAACCAAGCAUUAUUGUUCUCCUUAAAUUAUAUAUUUCUAAUAAUCUCCUAAGGCCUCGUGUACAUUAAAAUUUCCCGACAUAGUAUCGUCGGCAUUCAGUAAAAAGGGCAUAAGUGACAUUUCGAAAAAUUAAAAAUUUCGAAAAGAGGAGCAUCUUUUAGAUUAUAACAAAUGUUUAAAAUAUUAUUUACGUUCUGCUUUUUAACAAUGAAUUUUAAUUCAAUUUUGGUUUUAAUUGGUUUAAGUUUAAAAACUGCAUUCAAAUAUAAAACAGUCGUGAAAACCGAAACCAUGCUCCUCUGAAAAAUGUUUCGAAAUGUCGCUUAUGCGCUUUCUAUAAAACAUCGACUAUGUGAACUGAUUCAGACCCGGGUCAACAUUAUUCCUAUGAUCACGUAAACGCCCAAUGUACAAUGUCAUGUAAGUAUUGCAUUACA